This 253-nucleotide ribosomal RNA is filed under the name uncultured bacterium. Its description in RNAcentral is "partial 16S ribosomal RNA". It matches the Rfam family "Bacterial small subunit ribosomal RNA", at positions 524 to 776 of the family's 1533-position model. The record is from RNAcentral.
UACGUAGGCAGCGAGCGUUGUUCGGAAUUACUGGGCGUAAAGAGUGUGUAGGCGGUGCUCCCAGUCUGUUGUGAAAUCUCCCGGCUUAACUGGGAGGGUGCGGCGGAAACUAGAGUGCUAGAGGGUGGGAGAGGUAAGCGGAAUUCCUGGUGUAGCGGUGAAAUGCGUAGAUAUCAGGAGGAACACCUGUGGUGUAGACAGCUUACUGGACCACUUCUGACGCUGAGACACGAAAGCGUGGGCAGCAAACAGG